Molecule: ribosomal RNA, 253 nt
Filed under: uncultured bacterium
Lineage: Bacteria
Description: partial 16S ribosomal RNA
Rfam family: Bacterial small subunit ribosomal RNA
Source: RNAcentral
CACAGAGGCCUCGAGCGUUAGGCGGAAUCACUGGGCUUAAAGCGUGUGUAGGUGGAGUUCUAAGUACCUUGUGAAAUCCCACGGCUCAACCGUGGAACUGCUGGGUAUACUGGUUCUCUUGAGGUACCUAGGGGCGAGCGGAACAAGUGGUGGAGCGGUGAAAUGCGUAGAUAUCACUUGGAACGCCAACGGUGAAAACAGCUCGCUGGGGGUAUCCUGACACUGAGACACGAAAGCCAGGGGAGCAAACGGG